UAAUAAGAGUUCAACUGAAGAAUGUUCAGCCUUUUUUAAGUGUUUGUUCCUUAUAAAGGCCAAAGGGCUAUGAUGUAAUAACACCAAAACAAAGUAUGUCACAUCUGGUUUCACAUCUGGUUUCAUGUUAAAAAGGGUAGAACAAAAUAUUCAUUUGAAUUUUGACAGUUGUUGGAAAUUAAAUCUUCAUUUCAUUGCAGAAGUUUCAAUGCACUUUUUCUUUUUUAUUUAGUGUUCCUAUAAAUUGUUUUGGAAAUUUGAGGUGACAAGGUUACUCAAGAUUGUAAAAGAAUGAACAGUCACUUGGUUUACUUCUUUUAUUGUUUGUUU
This 330-nucleotide long non-coding RNA is filed under the name Mytilus galloprovincialis (Mediterranean mussel). Lineage: Eukaryota; Metazoa; Mollusca; Bivalvia; Mytilida; Mytilidae. The record is from RNAcentral.